CGUGAUACGCUGCGAUAAGCUACGGGGAGGUGCGAAUACCCUUUGAUCCGUAGAUCUCCGAAUGGGGAAACCCACCUAAGGUACUUGGAAAAUCAGAGCAGCAGGGCAACUGACGCGACAAUCCCAAAAGGAUUGAGCGUGGGGCGACGAUCUCUUUGGGAUCGCGCUGUUUUUGCUGCUGUGGUUUCCAAGUAUCGAUAAUAGGUAACUUAUCCUGAAUACAUAGGGAUAAAGUGGCGAACGCGGGGAACUGAAACAUCUAAGUACCCGUAGGAAAGGACAUCAACCGAGACUCCGGAAGUAGUGGCGAGCGAACCCGGACCAGGCCAGCGGCGAUUGAGAGACAAGCGGAACCUUCUGGAAAGUUGGGCCGUAGCGGGUGACAGCCCCGUACGCGUAAUGCGAUCAAUCGUCCUUGAGUAAGGCGGGACACGUGAAAUCCUGUCUGAAAUUGGGAGGACCACCUUCCAAGCCUAAGUACUCGUGCAUGACCGAUAGCGAACUAGUACCGUGAGGGAAAGGUGAAAAGCACCCCGACAAGGGGAGUGAAAGAGUACCUGAAACCGAUUGCCUACAAACAGUGGGAGCCCGUCCUUCAAAUCGCUUGACGAUUUGAAGAACUUUUGAUUUUGCCAUCAAGAGCGCAAGCGCUUUGAUGGGCGGGUGACCACGUACCUUUUGUAUAAUGGGUCAGCGACUUAGUGUGACGAGCAAGC
This 716-nucleotide ribosomal RNA is filed under the name Mesorhizobium sp. RNAcentral's name for it is "partial 23S ribosomal RNA". It matches the Rfam family "Bacterial large subunit ribosomal RNA", at positions 57 to 645 of the family's 2925-position model. The record is from RNAcentral. Lineage: Bacteria; Pseudomonadati; Pseudomonadota; Alphaproteobacteria; Hyphomicrobiales; Phyllobacteriaceae.